CGCGGUAAUACGAAGGUCCCAAGCGUUGUUCGGAAUCACUGGGCGUAAAGCGUGUGUAGGCUGCGCGGAAAGUCAAAUGUGAAAGCCCGGGGCUCAACCUCGGAACUGCAUUCGAUACUCCCGUGCUAGAGUAAUGGAGAGGUAAGUGGAAUUCCUGGUGUAGCAGUGAAAUGCGUGGAUAUCAGGAGGAACAUCAAUGGCGAAGGCAACUUACUGGACAUUUACUGACGCUCAGACACGAAGGCUAGGGUAGCGAAAGGGAUUAGAUACCCCUGUAGUCCUAGCAGUAAACGGUGCUCGCUUGGUGUGGGAGGAUUCGACCCCUUCUGUGCCGGAGCUAACGCGUUAAGCGAGCCGCCUGGGAAGUACGGUCGCAAGACUAAAACUCAAAGAAAUUGACGGGGACCCGCACAAGCGGUGGAGUAUGUGGCUUAAUUCGAUGCAACGCGAAGAACCUUACCUAGGCUUGACAUGCUUGUCGUACUCUCCCGAAAAGGAGAGGUCACUUCGGGUGGACAAUGCACAGGUGCUGCAUGGCCGUCGUCAGCUCGUGUCGUGAGAUGUUUGGUUAAGUCCAGCAACGAGCGCAACCCCUGUGAACUGUUGCCAGCGCGUAAAGGCGGGGACUCUGUUCAGACUGCCCAGAUCAACUGGGAGGAAGGUGGGGACGACGUCAGGUCAGUAUGGCCCUUACGCCUAGGGCUGCACACGUACUACAAUGCCCAGCACAAUGAGAACCGAGACCGCAAGGUGGAGGAAAUCUGCAAAACUGGGCCCAGUUCGGAUUGGAGGCUGCAACUCGCCUCCAUGAAGUCGGAAUCGCUAGUAAUGCCGUAUCAGCUACGACGGCGUGAAUACGUUCCCGGGUCUUGUACACACCGCCCGUCACAUCAUGGAAGCCGGUCGCACCCGAAGUAUAUGCGCUAACUUUAUUGAAGCAGUAUCCUAAGGUGAGGCUGGUAACUGGGAUGAAGUCGUAACAAGGUAGCCGUAGGGGAACCUGCGGCUGGAUCACCUCCUUU
Molecule: ribosomal RNA, 1022 nt
Filed under: bacterium
Lineage: Bacteria
Description: bacterial SSU rRNA
Rfam family: Bacterial small subunit ribosomal RNA
Source: RNAcentral